CACGAACCGUACGAACGUUAUUCGGAAUUACUGGGCUUAAAGGGUUUGUAGGCGGCCUUGUAAGUCAGGUGUGAAAGCCCUCGGCUCAACCGAGGAACAGCGCUUGAUACUGCAAGGCUUGAGGGAGACAGGGGUAAGCGGAACUGAUGGUGGAGCGGUGAAAUGCGUUGAUAUCAUCAGGAACACCGGAGGCGAAGGCGCCUCACUGGCCGGUAACUGACACUGAGCUGCGAAAGCAAGGGGAGCAAACAGG
Molecule: ribosomal RNA, 253 nt
Filed under: uncultured bacterium
Lineage: Bacteria
Description: partial 16S ribosomal RNA
Rfam family: Bacterial small subunit ribosomal RNA
Source: RNAcentral